Molecule: long non-coding RNA, 350 nt
Filed under: Rattus norvegicus (Norway rat)
Lineage: Eukaryota; Metazoa; Chordata; Mammalia; Rodentia; Muridae
Description: long non-coding RNA NONRATT025912
Source: RNAcentral
UACAGAAAGAAGUCUGGUCACAGCUGGCAGCAGCCUAUGCCCCGGGGACCCCCAAGACAUCUCAUCAGUUCCAGGUCGGAGACUCGGCUACAUACAAUGGCACCGAACCCAGAUACUCGAGCCUCACUGGAAAGGACCAUACCUGGUGCUGCUGACCACCCUGACAGCCAUCAAUUCUCAGCCCUCACCAGCCGUGUACUAGCUGUUGGGGCUGAGAGCUGGGACCUAGAGGGACACUCAGCAUGUUUGCCCUGGGUUCCAUCGAGAUAGGUAUAGAGAUAGGCUUGAUUUCUAUUACAAAUGAUGUAACAUUGCAUAUGUUAGUACUCCUAACACUUCUUGGGACUGUG